AUUGAACGCUGGCGGCAGGCCUAACACAUGCAAGUCGAACGGUAGCACAGAGAGCUUGCUCUCGGGUGACGAGUGGCGGACGGGUGAGUAAUGUCUGGGAAACUGCCCGAUGGAGGGGGAUAACUACUGGAAACGGUAGCUAAUACCGCAUAACGUCGCAAGACCAAAGUGGGGGACCUUCGGGCCUCACACCAUCGGAUGUGCCCAGAUGGGAUUAGCUAGUAGGUGGGGUAAUGGCUCACCUAGGCGACGAACCCUAGCUGGUCUGAGAGGAUGACCAGCCACACUGGAACUGAGACACGGUCCAGACUCCUACGGGAGGCAGCAGUGGGGAAUAUUGCACAAUGGGCGCAGGCCUGAUGCAGCCAUGCCGCGUGUAUGAAGAAGGCCUUCGGGUUGUAAAGUACUUUCAGCGGGGAGGAAGGCGGUGAAGUUAAUAACUUCACCGAUUGACGUUACCCGCAGAAGAAGCACCGGCUAACUCCGUGCCAGCCGCCGCGGUAA
RNAcentral lists this ribosomal RNA (504 nucleotides) under uncultured bacterium. RNAcentral's name for it is "partial 16S ribosomal RNA". It matches the Rfam family "Bacterial small subunit ribosomal RNA", at positions 30 to 523 of the family's 1533-position model. The record is from RNAcentral.